CGUGAGCAACCUGCCCUUGACUCUGGAAUAACAGCUGGAAACAGCUGCUAAUACCGGAUAUGACCUCAAACGACAUCAUCUGAGGUGGAAAGCUCCGGCGGUCAAGGAUGGGCUCGCGGCCUAUCAGCUAGUUGGUGAGGUAACGGCUCACCAAGGCUUCGACGGGUAGCCGGCCUGAGAGGGCGACCGGCCACACUGGGACUGAGAUACGGCCCAG
This 217-nucleotide ribosomal RNA is filed under the name uncultured bacterium. Its description in RNAcentral is "partial 16S ribosomal RNA". It matches the Rfam family "Bacterial small subunit ribosomal RNA", at positions 116 to 334 of the family's 1533-position model. The record is from RNAcentral.